Aedes aegypti (yellow fever mosquito) is the source of this 116-nucleotide non-coding RNA. Lineage: Eukaryota; Metazoa; Arthropoda; Insecta; Diptera; Culicidae. The record is from Rfam.
UGCCCAGCAAAUCCUAUCCCUACCUCCUCGUGGUACUGGCCGGGGUACGAGUAAUCUUAGGGAAGAUCGAGUAACCAAUCCCGGUGGGAAAUCUGGUCGUAUGCUGACAGGGAAGA